CCUUGACAUCCGGAGAACUUAGCAGAGAUGCUUUGGUGCCUUCGGGAACUCUGAGACAGGUGCUGCAUGGCUGUCGUCAGCUCGUGUUGUGAAAUGUUGGGUUAAGUCCCGNAACGAGCGCAACCCUUAUCCUUUGUUGCCAGCGGUUCGGCCGGGAACUCAAAGGAGACUGCCGGUGAUAAACCGGAGGAAGGUGGGGAUGACGUCAAGUCAUCAUGGCCCUUACGGCCAGGGCUACACACGUGCUACAAUGGCGCAUACAAAGAGAAGCGACCUCGCGAGAGCAAGCGGACCUCAUAAAGUGCGUCGUAGUCCGGAUUGGAGUCUGCAACUCGACUCCAUGAAGUCGGAAUCGCUAGUAAUCGUAGAUCAGAAUGCUACGGUGAAUACGUUCCCGGGCCUUGUACACACCGCCCGUCACACCAUGGGAGUGGGUUGCAAAAGAAGUAGGUAGCUUAACCUUCGGGAGGGCGCUUACCACUUUGUGAUUCAUGACUGGGGUGAAGUCGUAACAAGGUAAGCGUAGCGAG
This 530-nucleotide ribosomal RNA is filed under the name uncultured bacterium. Its description in RNAcentral is "bacterial SSU rRNA". It matches the Rfam family "Bacterial small subunit ribosomal RNA", at positions 979 to 1509 of the family's 1533-position model. The record is from RNAcentral.